Amphiprion ocellaris (clown anemonefish) is the source of this 652-nucleotide long non-coding RNA. NCBI's taxonomy places the organism in Eukaryota, Metazoa, Chordata, Actinopteri, Pomacentridae. The record is from Ensembl.
CCUGGUCGCGAGCACAUGGAAGUGAGGUCGAGAUUUGUGUCUGAGAGACGAUCACGAGGAAAAACGGAAUAUAAACAGCGCGAAGCGGCGGCAGAAGCAGCCCGGAUGGUGGCGUUGCUGCAGGACCCUCAUGCAGGCCGAACCUCACCACAGCUGCUGCACCAAUACGCCACUGAAGAUACUGAUCUGAAUAGGGAGGAUGCAAAGGUUUCCCAGAGACUAUGGGUUGAGGAGGAAUUGGAAGUUUGUCGGCUUAGACCUGGUGUUAUUCCAUCAGUGUUAAACUUCCCGGCUCAUCUUGGAAGAGUACGUGCCAGAAAGACCACAACCAAGCAGCCUUGAGAUCUUAGACAACAUCUCCCUGAGGUUCCUCUCUAUCUCCCCACACAUCCACCAACCACUGGAACACAUCUCCAAAGUUCUGCAGGGCCAGCUCAGCUUCCCCUCAGAAGAAGUGCCGCCACCUGCCAGAUGAAGGAGCCUUUUGAGAGGCAGCUGGCAUCGUGAUUGGACUGUACUUUGGUCUGUUCCAAUCCAGCUUCAGCUCCAGAGACGGCAGGCGGGACGAGUCAACGGAGGCCGGGUGGACGAAGGCAUGAAGCUGAGUACAAUCCAGAAAACAACAGAGGAGGAGCGCAAACAGAGUAGCAUG